RNAcentral lists this long non-coding RNA (2766 nucleotides) under Oryctolagus cuniculus (rabbit). Its description in RNAcentral is "lncRNA (ENSOCUG00000039646.1)". Lineage: Eukaryota; Metazoa; Chordata; Mammalia; Lagomorpha; Leporidae. The record is from RNAcentral.
GUGGUCACCCAGGAGGUGUGGCCAGGGCUCAGCGUUGUCGUGAGAGCAGUGAGGACAAGACGCCUGCCGAGAGGGAGCUCCACGCUGGACACCGUCGGUCAGCAGCCCCUGCAGCUUGAGCACCGAGGGCUGCGGGCAGCGGGGCAGCAGGCCCGGACCCCGAGACCGCGUCACGGGGCCAGUGUUCCCGGCAGCGAGGCCCCGCCUGCGUGCCUUCAGGAACACGGCAGCUCCCAUCUUGGAGGCGGUGACAGUUACGUAACAGACUGCAGCCGUGCAGCUGAGCGGAGCCAAAGGGGGGGGGGGGGGCGUCUCAGAAGGCGCCUUAGUGCCGAGGGAGGGUGUGACGGAGGAGGAGGUGGCGGGAGCCACCAAGCCCCGGCCCCGGAGACGCCCGCCCGCCCUGUGCCUCGCACGCAGCCAGAAAAACGCCUCCUGACCUUGGCCGUGAGGCCGGCUGGGGGCGAGGAAAGUCUGCCUUGCAUUUGCCGUAUUGCCAGUGACUUCUUACUCCUAGGAGUGCUUUCACACCGAAGCUUCGCAGUGCAACGUCAGCCUGAAGAAGCACAGGAACCGCAGCCUGCUCAGCUCCUUCUUCUGCUGCUUCCGGGACCACAGUGCGGAGGCCCCCCCGGCCAGCGGCCCCAGCGCGCUGCCGCCCCUGGUGGAGGAGAACGGCGGGCUCCAGAAGGUCAGUGCCGCGGGGGCUGCGCCCGGCCCCGCUGCUGGCCGCGUCCCUGCCCGUCCCCGGAAGGUGUCCUCGCACACAUGCGCACAUACAGGCAUGCACACACACACGCACACAUGCUCACACGCACAGUGCUGACGGGGGGCUGCGCCCAGCCCCGCUGGCGGCCGCAUCCCUGCCCGUCCCUGACAGGUGUCCUCGUGCACACGCACACACACACGUAACUGGAGAGCACACUUAGUGGGAGUUAUCAGAGUCACUUCACAUUUGUAUCACAUCCUCUUUCAAGAAGUUGAUGCGUGAAGUAGAGUUACAGACCCAUUGGGGCUGGCACUGGUGUUUGUGGCGUAGCAGGUAAGGCCACCUCCCGAGACGCUGGCAUUCUCUACGGGCGCCAGUUCGAGUCCUGGCUGCUCCACUUCCCAACCAGCUCCCUGCUAACGUGCCUGGGAAGAGCAGUGGAGGAGGGCCAAGUCUUCGUGCCCUCCGAUGGGAGACUUUGUGCCUGGGAGACUCAGAUGAAGCGCCAGGCUCCUGGCUUCGGCCUGGCCCAGCCCUGGCCGUGGCGGCCAUCUGGUGAGUGAACCGCUGGAUGGAAGAUCUGUCUCCAUCUCUACUCUCUGUAACUCUGACGUUCAAAAUAAGGAGCCAGCAGCAGACACACAAAUGGAAACCAGGGAGCCACGCACAGGGAAGAGCUGGCCAUCAAUAGAUCUGUAAUGCAGUGUGACUUCCUCGUGGAAUAGCAGUCAUGUGUUAAUAGUCCCUUGUAUGUAUCAGAUUUAAAAAUAGAAGUCAGUGGUCUGCGCCGCAGCUCAAUAGGCUAAUCCUCCACCUUGCGGCGCCGGCACACCGGGUUCUAGUCGGGGCGCCGGAUUCUGUCCCGGUUGCCCCUCUUCCAGGCCAGCUCUCUGCUGUGGCCCGGGAGUGCAGUGGAGGAUGGCCCAAGUGCUUGGGCCCUGCACCCCAUGGGAGACCAGGAGAAGCACCUGGCUCCUGCCUUCGGAUCAGCGCGAUGUGCCAGCCGCGGCGGCCAUUGGAGGGUGAACCAACAGAAAAGGAAGACCUUUCUCUCUCUCUCUCUCACUGUCCACUCUGCCUGUCAAAAAAAAAAAAAAUUAAAAAAAAUAGAAGUCAGAUCGUCACCACAGGUCAAGAACCAAAAUCUCUCCAGGUGCUGAUAGACACACCCCAGACAAAGGCGCACGGCGAGCAAUGAGAUUUAUGACGACGAACCCAGUGCAAAUGGUGGCAGCACAAACCUGUCAAAAGAGAAUUCUGGGUAAAAUCCGCUGGAAGAGGCACAGGGGAUUGUUUGCUUUAGGCUGAAGGUAGAGGACAGAAAGGUCAGAACACUUCAUGUCCCGAACGCCAGGAGCAGGGCGGGAAGACAGCUGGUCAGGUACGGGAGAAGCGGGGAGUGCUGCACGUGGUUAGCAAAGAAGUGCAGGCCAAGACCACGGCACCUUGGCCGCCAGUCACAUCACCAAACCCUCCUGCAGGCGAGGUUUGGAUUUAGCUCGGGGUGGCAGGGGCAGGUGAGGGUGCCGGGUGGUCGUGGGUAAGAGUGCGGCGUGGGUACAGCUCCGCUGGUGACCGUUUGGCCACCUGACCUCCACUGCUGUUUUGUUUUGGUUAUUCAGUGCCAUACUUGUACACUGUUACGGGGCACAUGCAGUUUUUCAGCAAGUGUACCCAGCAUAAGCUGACCCAGCAGUAAUUCCUUACACCUUAAACCUGUCUCUGGCUGUCAGUCAGGCCGGUCCACUUUAUGGACGAAACUGGGCAGCACCGGGCCUGGCGUUGUGGCACAGGGGGUGGACUGCCACUCGAGACAACAGCAUCUGACCCUGGAGAGCUGGCUGGGUCCUGGCCGCACUGCUUCCCACCCACUCCUGGGGAGGCAGCGGAAGAUGGCCCAGUGCCUGGCCUCUGCCACCCCGCUGGGGGACCAGAGAGCUCCAGGAUGGUGCCGGCCUGGCUGGGGCGGCCAUUUGGAGAGUGAAGCAGCAGAUGGAAGACCUCUGGCUCUCUGCCUUUGAAAUAAACAAAUCGACAAAUCCUUUUUUUAUUUAUGA